GUGGAAUCGUUGAACGGUUUGGGUUGGAACGGACAUUAAAGAUCCUCUGGUUCCAAUCCCCUGCCAUGAGCAGGGACAUCUUCCACUAGACCAGGUUGCUCCAAGCCCCGUCCAACCUGUCCCUGGACACUCCCAGGAUGUCUGGCUGCAAUGCAGACACAUGAGCAGGUGUUCUGAGCAGGCAGAUUGCUGGAGUUCAAAUCAGAUGUUGGUUUGAACUCCCUUGGAAAAUGAAGGAAAAUGCUGUGUUGUGAGAGGUCCCCCUGGGCUUGCUGGGUUUUCUAUCCAUUAUUCAUCUCAGAAAGAAUUUCUUCACUGAAAGGGUGGUCAGGCAUUGGAACGGGCUGCCCAGGGAAGUGGUGGAGUCACCAUCCCUGAAAGUGUUCAACAUGGCACUUAGUGCUGUGGUUCAGUUGGCGUGGUGGCAUUUGGUCAAUGUUUGGACUCAAUAAUCUUGAAGGUCUUUUCCAACCUUAAUGAUCUUGUGAUUCUAUUCUAUGACUAUUUCUGUCCCUGAGGCCCAGGAAUUGAGUAUUUAGCUCCAUGUCUGCAAGCAAAGGGUUAAGGACAUGAGAGCUGGAGCCCCUGGUUGUGGAAAUGAUCAUCGUUUAUCAUUUCCUAGCCUCUGCCUUGGUCUUUCUACCUGUAAAGUGUGAACAGUCACAGUUUGGAGACUGGACAUCAGUUGAAAAAGAGUGAUACAUUUUCACAGAGGGGAAGAUCCUUAAAUCCCCCUAUUUACUCUUUCUGAUUUCUCAGAAGACCAAAUCAGUUUCAAAUGGAUUGUGUUCUUCUUUAGACUCUUUAGAAUAUCUAUUAAUACAAUUUCAGCUUUCAGAAAUAGCAGCUUCUUUCAUUUACUGAGAGGUUUUCAAACAGCUUUCUGUGUCUGAAUAACUUAUGCAAUAAAUAGCUUGAAUUUCUGUAAGUGAAAACUCCCAUUUGAUUGUUAUAGUUCUUUUCUCUAAUUGCUGAUUAUCAAGAGACUGGAUUCAGGCAACAGAAGAAAAAUGCUUAUAUGGGAAGAAAUUUUUCUUUAUUCUGCCCAUGAAUGCUUUGAUUUUGAGCAGUGAUGCAGAAAACCACAGUGCUAUCUUUAGUAUGUUUUGGGAAAUUUCCCAAAUGUAUCAGGGAAUAUGUAUAAGAAAUGACACUAUAGAAUAAUUUCUAUUACCAAAACCAAAAUAAAAAUCAGGACUAAAUUGUACUAAAGAUGCAUUUUUCUAAAGGCAUAAUAUGAAAUGGCUUUUGUUCAGAAAUACCAAUUUAUUACAGAAUUGAGAGUUUGCUGCAGUGGUAACAUCACAGAAAUAGACAACAGAAACUGAAGACAUUUGAACAGCUCUGUCUCUGUCUGGCAUAAUCUCUAUAUCAAUGAAUUAUACAUUUAUAUAUCCAUUGCUCUGUUCUGAACUAUCCUUGCUAACCACUUAUUUCCCAGAAGUGGAACAGAGGUUAUUGAAAAGCUGAGAUGCAUUUUGUGAAUUCUUGGAAAUGUGCAAGCUCUUCAUAGCUUGGGUUCACUAUCUGUGUCCUACACAUGCCAUGACCCACUUAGGCUUUGUGUUUCCUUGAGGGCAAAGAAGUUUUUAAGGCCAGAAGGACAUCUGGGGUCUAUUCUUAGCCACCAUUAACUUGGUUAAUGAAUGGAAUAAAUAGCAUGUGCAACAUCAUGGGAAAAAUCUGCCUGCUGGCACAGGCUGUGCAGCUGACCAGUCCUGCAGGUCCGUAAGGGUUUCUGGGUUUUGUAGUGGCACUUCAGGGCACCCCAGUUUUUGGGAUUGUUAAAUGUUUGGACAGUGCUUCCUCGGUGCCCAGCUGAGAAAGUCAGGCUGUUGGCACGGUAAGAAAGGCAGGUGGCUGCUUAUGUUUCCAACAGGAUGUCUGAGAUUUUGGGACUUGUAGGGGGUGAUUUUGUUAGGGCACAGGAUUAGGAUUUCAAGAUAUCAUAAUUUCUUUACUCAGUUUUUUCAUGAAGGGAUUACUUCUCCAUUCAGUCACCCCAUGGGCAUGCAGGGAUGCUGAUUCUACUACAGAGGUGCUGUGAGGGUUAAUUAGUGAUGGCAAAACAUUUUGAAAUGGCUGAUUGAGAAAUGCUGACAGAGAUGAAAGCUGAAUAAGUAUCUAGAUAAAUAAAUAUUCCUUUGUAGUCUUAUCAUUACAGGAAAUUCCCCGUGUACCCAGGAUGCUGCACAGGUCACUGAGCAGUCAUCUCCCCAUUGCCCAGAGUGUUCUCAAGGGGACUCAUUUAUUUCAGUAUUUCACUUUAGUUUCUGUGAUGUGAGCCACAAUAUGUGCCAGAGAGAAAAGCCUGGCAGCCACCAGCAAACACCACAGAAAUACCAAAGGGAUUGGCAGAUUUUUCUUUCCCUGGAGCUCUUGUUCUGCUCUUUCCCUGUGAAUUGUGCAACUGCAGAACCUGGAGAAUCCCAGGAGAGAGAAGAGGAAGUUGGAGCCUAUUCCCAUGAUUAAAGACAAUGAAGAAGAAGGUAUCCUCAAGUGAGUGUCCACAAGACAACACCUGCAAGAGCUCUGCUGAAGGCAGUGCAGCCAGCUCUCUGCUUCAGUAUGGUCUCUGAUCAUCUCCCUUCCCAGCACCAAACCAUCGUGAAGGCCAGGCUGAACGGCUGCACAAAUUGACUGCUGCGUCAGCACAGCAAAUCCAGGGCCUCUCAACAGCAACAGGGAUGUCUCCUGUCUCCUUAGGUCAUAGGGUACAGGGAAGUGCUGGCCUGAUGUAAAAAGCAUCACUACAGCUUGGGGUGGAGCCAUCCCAAAGCAGGUCUGAUGCAAGAAGUGAGUCAGAGACCUUUUGACACAGUUUGACCUGACAGAUGCAGCGACUCAGUGGCAGUGUGAGGAGCUCAUAUUGUUUUGUAAAUGGAAUAAAGUUCAUUUAACACA
Pseudopipra pipra is the source of this 2904-nucleotide long non-coding RNA. RefSeq lists it as uncharacterized. NCBI's taxonomy places the organism in Eukaryota, Metazoa, Chordata, Aves, Passeriformes, Pipridae. The transcript has 3 exons. The record is from RefSeq and is a predicted model, not a curated record.